GGAUGUGAGGGCGAUCUGGCUGUGACAUCUGUCACCCCAUUGAUCGCCAGGGUUGAUUCGGCUGAUCUGGCUGGCUAGGCAGGUGUCCCCUUCCUCCCUCACCGCUCCAUGAGCGUCCCUCCCGAAGCUGUAUGCUCAGUCGAAGAGGACGACCUUCCCCGAUAGAGGAGGACCGUUCUUCGGUCAAGGGUAUACUAGCAGCUGCGCUCCCCGGCUAGAACCUCCGAACAAGCUCUCAAGGUAAGGGCUUAGAGCCCCCUUCAAAUCCCUGGUGUGACCUGCAUCCCAUCAG
Molecule: non-coding RNA, 292 nt
Organism: Ailuropoda melanoleuca (giant panda)
Lineage: Eukaryota; Metazoa; Chordata; Mammalia; Carnivora; Ursidae
Source: Rfam